CGAUUGGCCGCGUGGAAGUCUCAACAAACACUACUGUCUUUGUUGGAGAGGUGCGAGCCGAGGCUCCCGUGGAAGCGGAGAGCCGGAGUGCAGCAUGGGGAGACGGAGCACCGGGAUCAGCAGCGCAGCUAUCCGUCAUCUGUUGGAUCUAAAACGUUGAUUGUGCCGACAUCCUGGAUCUUCUGUGAGGGCAAGGACCUGCGCUCCUCAUCCGCGUCGUCCCCGAAGGUCUCGGUUUCAGGAGGCUCCCUCUCAACACGAAGGAAGAAAAGACAA
Neolamprologus brichardi is the source of this 276-nucleotide long non-coding RNA. RefSeq lists it as uncharacterized. The record is from RefSeq and is a predicted model, not a curated record. Lineage: Eukaryota; Metazoa; Chordata; Actinopteri; Cichliformes; Cichlidae.